Molecule: small RNA, 471 nt
Filed under: Pongo abelii (Sumatran orangutan)
Lineage: Eukaryota; Metazoa; Chordata; Mammalia; Primates; Hominidae
Description: processed transcript
Source: RNAcentral
ACUCUCUUAUGCUGGUGCACGAGAGUCUUGACCUCCAUCUUAGGCAUAGAAGAUGAAGUGCGCACAGGGACCUACAGGCAGCUCUUCCACCCGGAGCAGCUGAUCACCGGGAAGGAAGAUGCAGCCAAUAAUUACGCCAGGGGCCAUUACACCAUCGGCAAGGAGAUUGUUGACCUAGUCCUGGACCGGAUCCGCAAACUGGCGGAUCUGUGCACAGGACUGCAGGGCUUCCUCAUCUUCCACAGCUUUGGGGGUGGCACUGGCUCUGGGUUCGCAUCUCUGCUCAUGGAGCGGCUCUCAGUGGAUUACGGCAAGAAGUCCAAGCUAGAGUUUGCCAUUUACCCAGCCCCCCAGGUCUCCACAGCCGUGGUGGAGCCCUACAACUCCAUCCUGACCACCCACACGACCCUGGAACAUUCUGACUGUGCCUUCAUGGUCGACAACGAAGCCAUCUAUGACAUAUGUCGGCGC